This 253-nucleotide ribosomal RNA is filed under the name uncultured bacterium. RNAcentral's name for it is "partial 16S ribosomal RNA". It matches the Rfam family "Bacterial small subunit ribosomal RNA", at positions 524 to 776 of the family's 1533-position model. The record is from RNAcentral.
UACGUAGGGUGCAAGCGUUGUCCGGAAUUAUUGGGCGUAAAGGGCUCGUAGGCGGCCAACUAAGUCAGACGUGAAAUCCCUCGGCUUAACCGGGGAACUGCGUCUGAUACUGGAUGGCUUGAGAUUGGGAGAGGGAUGCGGAAUUCCAGGUGUAGCGGUGAAAUGCGUAGAUAUCUGGAGGAACACCGGUGGCGAAGGCGACAUCCUGGACCAACACUGACGCUGAGGAGCGAAAGCCAGGGGAGCAAACGGG